This 119-nucleotide ribosomal RNA is filed under the name Takifugu rubripes (torafugu). The record is from RNAcentral. Lineage: Eukaryota; Metazoa; Chordata; Actinopteri; Tetraodontiformes; Tetraodontidae.
GCUUACGGCCAUACCACCCUGAGAACGCCCGAUCUCGUCCGAUCUCGGAAGCUAAGCAGGGUCGGGCCUGGUUAGCACUUGGAUGGGAGACCGCCUGGGAAUACCAGGUGCUGUAAGCU